Solanum lycopersicum (tomato) is the source of this 431-nucleotide long non-coding RNA. RefSeq lists it as uncharacterized. The record is from RefSeq and is a predicted model, not a curated record. NCBI's taxonomy places the organism in Eukaryota, Viridiplantae, Streptophyta, Magnoliopsida, Solanales, Solanaceae.
GUUAAUUACUCUUGUGUUACCACAAAACUUGGAAGAGAAAAUGGACAAGGCAACAUUUCUUAAGGUUUUCUUGAUCUCCUUUUUGCUUAUGUUGUUGGUACAAGGAAGCCAUGUGCAAGGAGGAUGUACCAGCGAUGCCGAUUGUGCUACGGUUUUGAAAUGCAUAGAAGCACAACCCAUCUGUGACUUGACAAGACAUCAAUGUGUCUGUCCACGAACUCCACCAGCUAAUUAUGGAACAAGAACCAUUCACCAAAACUGAUUUUAUUAUGUUUUUUCAAUUUCAUAAGAUUCAAUAAAGAUCUAUUAUUUUCAUAUUAAUCAUGUUGGAAAAUGGAUGGUGUUAUUUGCGCGAUGUAUUUUAUCAUUAAAGAUUUCUUUGUUUUUAGAUUAAUCACAAAUCAAGAAUAUAUUGGUUGCUUUUGGUACAA